AGUGGCGGACGGGUGAGUAACGCGUAAGAAUCUAACUUCAGGACGGGGACAACAGUGGGAAACGACUGCUAAUACCCGAUGUGCCGCGAGGUGAAACCUAAUUGGCCUGAAGAAGAGCUUGCGUCUGAUUAGCUAGUUGGUGGGGUAAGAGCCUACCAAGGCGACGAUCAGUAGCUGGUCUGAGAGGAUGAGCAGCCACACUGGGACUGAGACACGGCCCAGACUCCUACGGGAGGCAGCAGUGGGGAAUUUUCCGCAAUGGGCGAAAGCCUGACGGAGCAACGCCGCGUGAGGGAGGAAGGUCUUUGGAUUGUAAACCUCUUUUCUCAAGGAAGAAGUUCUGACGGUACUUGAGGAAUCAGCCUCGGCUAACUCCGUGCCAGCAGCCGCGGUAAUACGGGGGAGGCAAGCGUUAUCCGGAAUUAUUGGGCGUAAAGCGUCCGCAGGUGGUCAGCCAAGUCUGCCGUCAAAUCAGGUUGCUUAACGACCUAAAGGCGGUGGAAACUGGCAGACUAGAGAGCAGUAGGGGUAGCAGGAAUUCCCAGUGUAGCGGUGGAAUGCGUAGAGAUUGGGAAGAACAUCGGUGGCGAAAGCGUGCUACUGGGCUGUAUCUGACACUCAGGGACGAAAGCUAGGGGAGCGAAAGGGAUUAGAUACCCCUGUAGUCCUAGCCGUAAACGAUGGAUACUAGGCGUGGCUU
Molecule: ribosomal RNA, 700 nt
Filed under: uncultured bacterium
Lineage: Bacteria
Description: bacterial SSU rRNA
Rfam family: Bacterial small subunit ribosomal RNA
Source: RNAcentral